This is a long non-coding RNA of Fukomys damarensis (Damara mole-rat), 505 nucleotides long. RefSeq lists it as uncharacterized. The record is from RefSeq and is a predicted model, not a curated record. The transcript is spliced from 3 exons. Lineage: Eukaryota; Metazoa; Chordata; Mammalia; Rodentia; Bathyergidae.
CUACUACUCCCGAGAGCCUUUGUUUGGCUCAGGCGUAGAGUUUCCUUUCCCAAGGGCUCCAGGCAGGCCCAGGACAGACAAAAGUGUAGCACAGUUUUCUGGGAAAUGUAGUUCCGGAGCCGUAGAGUGCUGGAGAGUGGCGCAGGUGGAAUUUGCCUGUCAGUUGGUCGGCGUCUUCAGCUUAGUCGGUUAACCUUUCUGAAAGAAAGGCCCAGGCCCCUGUUUCUAGGAAUACUGGCAGAAGUGGACGGUCCCUUGAGGGGCUUCCCCGCUGUCCUCCGGAGUCAAGCACCUGAGGGCGGUCAGUUUGGGCCAUAACCUCUACCCAGCCACCUGUGUGCCAGACUCUCCCCUGUGGUGGCUAGCAUCCAGCAUGGCUCCGCUUGCCGCCCACAAAAAGGAUUGGCUUUGGAAACGAAGCCCAAGGCCCUCACUGAUAUCUUGAUUGCGACCUCAUGAGAAGCCCUCAGCCAAAACAGUACAUGUAGCUAGACAUGGGGUAAAA